UAUUGGAUCAUAGAUGCAUAAUGCAUUUAUUGAAUGAUACAUUAAAAUUUCUUAUUGCCAGUCAUAUUUUUUGGCCUCACCACCCCACACGCCAUGAAGAUAGAUGCCAUCACUCUUUGCUGUCCAAAAGCAAGAAUCUAAUUUGCAUUCGGUCUCUCCCCAUUUUGACCUAAAAACAUCGAAACUUCGCUUCUUUGAACCCCAUCCAAGAGUGCAGAAAAACAAUGUAUCUCUAAAGACGCUAUCACAAAACGUCCAGUGGAAUUCUUGAUUAUGAGUAAGAGUAUGAUGCCCAAGGUCAUCAUCUUUAGAUGCACAAUGCAACGACAAUUCAGAUCCAGGUGGUAGGUUAUUGAUGAUAUAUAUAUCAUAUCUUAAAGUUAUAUAACAACGGGCGUGAGAAAGGCUGAUGCAUCCCAAUAAAAUGAGAAAUAAAAAGAGAGUUUUCAUCAUGAUAACAAUAUUUUAGGUUGUUGUAAAAUGAAAAUUGGUGCUUUGAUCUAAGAUUUUAGAAGGC
This 517-nucleotide long non-coding RNA is filed under the name Olea europaea subsp. europaea. Lineage: Eukaryota; Viridiplantae; Streptophyta; Magnoliopsida; Lamiales; Oleaceae. The record is from RNAcentral.